UUGAUCCUGGCUCAGAGCGAACGUUAGCGGCGCGCCUAACACAUGCAAGUCGCACGAGAAAGGGGGCAACCCCCGGUACAGUGGCGCACGGGUGAGUAACACGUGGAUUACCUUCCCUGGAGUGGUGGAUAACCUGCCGAAAGGUGGGCUAAUACAGCAUGAGACCACGCACUUUCGAGUGUGAGGUCAAAGCGGGCUUCUGUUUACAUGCUCGCGCUCUAGGAUGGGGUCCGCGGCCCCAUCAGCUAGUUGGUAGGGUAACGGCCUACCAAGGCAACGACGGGUAGCUGGUCUGAGAGGAUGACCAGCCACACUGGAACUGAGACACGGUCCAGACUCCUACGGGAGGCAGCAGUGGGGAAUCUUGCGCAAUGGGCGAAAGCCUGACGCAGCGACGCCGCGUGGGUGACGAAGGCCUUCGGUUGUAAGCCCUGUCGGGGGGAGACGGAACCGGGUCGGUGGCGUAAUAUCCACGGUCCUUGACGGUAUCCCUUUAGCAAGCAUCGGCUAAUACGUGCCAGCAGCCG
RNAcentral lists this ribosomal RNA (527 nucleotides) under uncultured bacterium. Its description in RNAcentral is "bacterial SSU rRNA". It matches the Rfam family "Bacterial small subunit ribosomal RNA", at positions 13 to 517 of the family's 1533-position model. The record is from RNAcentral.